CCCUUGCGGGGGGGGGGAGGGGGCAGGCAACCGAUACUUACUGGCAGGAGAAAUACCAUAAUCACAAAGGUGGUUUUCCCAGGGCAAUGCCUAUUUAUUGUACCUCGGGUGUUAUGACACCUGUAAUUUCCUUAAAUGUGGAAAAUUCGAUUGCAUGAUUUGUGGUAGUGGGGAACCGCUAUCGAGCUUUUCCCUGGAAAUGGCCUGUCUGACCUUAGAUUUUUGGGUUGAAACAAGCCUCGCGUGAUGGUGCACACGGUAGUGUGUGUCAGUGCAGCUAUUUCACACUCUUGUCUGUCUUCAUGCUAGCCUAACGUAUCAUUGUAAUACAGAGCUGUGCGUGGAGAUGGUACUGUAGAAAAGGGAAGUGUGUAGUUUCUUGUUUUCUCUGCAAGUUCUUCUCAGGAGGUGUCCUGUUCUAGUUUCUUAUGGGGGUGGUGUCUUGUAGGGAGUUUAAACUGCUGUUUUUCCUGGUGUUUGUGAGUUGUACGUUCACCACUAUUUGGACUGACAUUUUAGUUUACGCGAUGCUUGGGAAGUGGACAGCUCAUUGAGGAACGCGCUGCGUGUAAAGACCUUCCUGCACCCUUUACGGCUUCCAAAGUUACCAGCGCAACGAUGUACUGCUGCUGUGGAGGACCAACAUAAUCUCCAGUAAUAGCAAGCCUGUACGCGGGCUAGGAUAAGUGAGCAGCAGGGCCCGAAAAGCCAAGAUCCAUGUCGGGAAAGCCCAAGGGUCAGUGGUGGAAACCAGAAAGUCCAUGCCAGCAGGAUGAAGAGUUCACCCUAGUGUCUUAUGCAAGUCCACACCAGCAGGCUGAUGGUUUAUGACGGAAGGCCGAAGGCUCUGUGAUGAAAGGCCGAAGAGUCUACACUGGAAGCCAGAAGACGAGGUCCAAACCAAAGGCAAAGACUAGAGCUUCUCCCAUAGCCAGGAUUCAUGGGUCCAGGAAUCAAGGGGUAGAAGCAGUAAUGGUACCACUCACCGUUACCCCUAGUUUCCACUAGAAAAAUUUUUGCUUCCUGUCCCCAUGACUUCAUGUUCUGCUGGCCUACAAGUUUUGGUUCCAGAGUGGGGAAGGCUUAUGCCAGGAAGCACGAAAAUGGUACCAUUGAACUGGAAAGCUAAGACUUCCCCCUGGUCAUCUUGGUCUCCUCAUGCCUCUGAGGAAACAAGCUAAAAACAGAGUCACAGUGUUGUCAGGGGUGAUUGACCCAGACUACCAAGGGGAAGUUGGACUACUACUCCGUAAUGGAGGAAAGUUGCCAGCAUAAAGAGGUGGAGAAGGAGAAGGAAGGUGCUGAGGCAUUAAUGUGUUGUUGCGUUGAGGCAUUGUGGGUUCUCCCACGAGUUGCUGGUUGAGCCAUUGGUUCUCCUGGAGAAGCUUUGGUUCUCACAUUGAUCACUGCUUCCUGGCUCCGGAGGUGAAGACGUGUGCUGCUUGGUCUCCAGGAUAAGCUCGUCACGAUGGCUUCCUGGCAUGUACCCGACUGUGUUUGUUGUUGGAGGAGCUCGGGGCCUCCAUGUCACUGAGGAUGGCUGUGGUGCCUUUCAGGACAGCCCUGGUCUUUGUUGUGAGUGUGACUUAUUGGCUCCAGCAUAGAACCCUCAUUUCACCAGCACAGCUCCUUUAACCCACUGGCAACUUUCCUCAGAUGGAGCAUCUUCAUUAGCUGCCAUGCUGAUGUUCUCCAGCUGGCGUUGAGUUGACCACCAGUUCUUAAUCCAUAACAACAGCACAAUGAGUCACCAUCAGGACACACUAUCACAUAAAGAUGUGAGGAUUGUGAUUAGCAAUCAUGAAAAGAAAGAUUUUUUAAACAUAGCAAAGGACCAUGAAAAAUCCGUCCAACAGGUUUUAGGUGAUGCAAAGAAUAACAAGAUUGAUUGGGGUCAAUGGAAAAGCCAGGCAUAACACAAAUGACAUACAAAAUCCUGUUCAAAGAAGUUCUCUGAGUUCGAGGCCAGCCUGGGCCACAACAUGAGUUCAAGGCCAGUCUGAAGUGCAUAGCGAAAUUUUGUCUCAAAAAGACAAAACUAUAAACAAAGUACGAGGGAAGAACUCUGAAAUAAAUGUUAAAUGGUCUGGUGUGAAGGCGCAUGAUGUAAUCCAGUACUCUGCUUGAGGCAGGGGAUCUCGCAGAGUUCGAAAUCCGAAUCUAAAGAGCCAGGGAGCAAGCAUGCAGAGUACAAUAAGCCACCUGCAUAAAACAACACAGCGAGCUCAGGACUCCAACCACAAAUCCCAAACAGAAACUCCGUUGUUCGGCGCUGAGCUCAGGCCGCCGCGAUUGCUCUCAUUUCUACUCUCCUUACCCCAAGAUAGUCGGUGCAAUUGCCAGGUGUUCCAGGGGAGAGACAUCGCAGGGCGCUGAACCGGUGGCCCCUUUUCUGUGCCCACAGGCAUCUUUGCCCUGAGGCCCAGGGGUUACCUGAGCACUGGGGGCCCUGGCCCAGGCGCUGGGUCCCCGGGCGGGCGAGUCCGGGCCUCCGACGUCAGCGAGAUCAGGGGGCCGAAGGUGCGCAGUGCCCCAAGCGAGGUGGCCAAGGGGGCACCCAGGCGCCAACACCCGGAGGUGGGGGUCGGCAAAUUCCCCGUGGACACAGACUCCCCUGCAGCCUGGUUUCCCGCCGCAGACUCCUAAGAAGCCGACAGAGGGCGCAGGGGACCCGGCUGAGCCCCGCAAUGGAACCGAGAGCGGGAGGACGCAGAGACCUGGAGAGCCCUGGCCUACACAGCCUCCAUCUCUGGCGGGGAACCUGCCUGCCUCCUAAAAGAACGGGUGCGAGAGGACUCUAGGGCCCCCAGGUUUCUUGCUUUUGUUUAGGUUCUGUUCUGUUUAAGCCUCCAUCCACAGGUUCCCAGGACAGAGGGACCUGAAUCACCCCAUUGACUAACAUCCUGGGCGCCAAGCUUUUCAGAGGGUGUGGUUUACACUGCGGAGGAAAAUUGUCCUCAGCACAGCUAAACAGUAAGGUCCCACCGAGAUUUGAACUCGGAUCGCUGGAUUCAGAGUCCAGAGUGCUCACCAUUACACCAUGGAACCCACAUGAAUACGCACUGCACUGUUGUCCUAAGUGAGGAAACACAUGUCACCAUCAGCACGCACAGAUUAACCCCAGGUGUAACCUCUGACUUCACCUUGGCCUCAAGGCACGACUAAAGGGAAGACUGCUACAAGCAGCCAUUACACACCGCCCUCUGACUCACUUUACCACACUUGCCUGCCGGGAAAGGCCUGCAAGCACACGCUCAUUUCCCUUUUCCUGGCUUCACAGUUAUCUCACUGUCCCAGGAUGCUCAGGGCAGAACGUGACAUUCCUGGCUUCCUUGGUCCCAUGGCACCUACCACCUCCUGGAACUCCAGCUGCACUCUAUAAAGACCUAUCAGCCAGAAAAGAACAAACAUUGCCUUGUUGUUGCUGUUGUUGUUGUAGUAACGUUUUGUUUGUUUGGAGUCGGUUUCAGUUACUUUUUUCUCUCCUUGCUGAGACAAAAUACUUAACACUCAAAGUUAAGGAAGGAAAGGUUUAUUUAGCUCACAGUUUGUGGAGCUUACAAUCCACACUCAGCUGGCUCCAAGGCAGGGUGGCAUGGCAGAGAAAUAGUUCAUGGUGGCCAUAAGUCAGCAAAAGCAGCGAGAGAAAAAAAUUUAAAAAGGAGGAGCCAAGAGACACUCUUUCUGUCCUUUAUAUUGUAUCUAGGGCGGAUGUGGCACUCACCCCAUAAUCUCAGCACUGGACCCUGAAUUAAUAACAAACUAUGAGCCUGCCUCCAUGCCUACAGGAGAUUUUGGGGAGACAUCCAGACACAGAGUGCUUCUGAUCAUGAAUAUGUUUGUUGAAUUAAAGUAAAAAGUAAGCAACCUUGUUUAAUGUUUACAUAAAACACUCAAGCUGGCCACAAAA
Cavia porcellus (domestic guinea pig) is the source of this 3910-nucleotide long non-coding RNA. RefSeq lists it as uncharacterized. The transcript is spliced from 2 exons. NCBI's taxonomy places the organism in Eukaryota, Metazoa, Chordata, Mammalia, Rodentia, Caviidae. The record is from RefSeq and is a predicted model, not a curated record.